This 370-nucleotide ribosomal RNA is filed under the name uncultured organism. Its description in RNAcentral is "bacterial SSU rRNA". It matches the Rfam family "Bacterial small subunit ribosomal RNA", at positions 526 to 896 of the family's 1533-position model. The record is from RNAcentral.
CGAAGGGUGCUAGCGUUGUUCGGAAUCACUGGGCGUAAAGCGUGCGUAGGCGGCUUUGCAAGUCAAGGGUGAAAUCCCACAGCUCAACUGUGGAAUUGCCUCUGAAACUGCAUAGCUGGAGUAUUGGAGGGGUCAGGGGAAUUCCUAAUGUAGUGGUGAAAUACGUAGAUAUUAGGAGGAACACCGGUGGCGAAGGCGCCUGACUGGACAAUAACUGACGCUGAGGCACGAAAGCGUGGGGAUCAAACAGGAUUAGAUACCCUGGUAGUCCACGCUGUAAACGAUGGGUGCUAGCCGUCGGGGGGGUUACCUCUCGGUGGCGCAGCUAACGCGUUAAGCACCCCGCCUGGGGAGUACGGUCGCAAGAUUA